GAUGAACGCUGGCGGCGUGCCUAAUACAUGCAAGUCGAGCGAACGGACGAGAAGCUUGCUUUUCUGAUGUUAGCGGCGGACGGGUGAGUAACACGUGGAUAACCUACCUAUAAGACUGGGAUAACUUCGGGAAACCGGAGCUAAUACCGGAUAAUAUUUUGAACCGCAUGAUUCAAAAGUGAAAGACGGUCUUGCUGUCACUUAUAGAUGGAUCCGCGCUGCAUUAGCUAGUUGGUAAGGUAACGGCUUACCAAGGCAACGAUGCAUAGCCGACCUGAGAGGGUGAUAGGCCACACUGGAACUGAGACACGGUCCAGACUCCUACGGGAGGCAGCAGUAGGGAAUCUUCCGCAAUGGGCGAAAGCCUGACGGAGCAACGCCGCGUGAGUGAUGAAGGUCUUCGGAUCGUAAAACUCUGUUAUUAGGGAAGAACAUAUGUGUAAGUAACUGUGCACAUCUUGACGGUACCUAAUCAGAAAGCCACGGCUAACUACGUG
RNAcentral lists this ribosomal RNA (497 nucleotides) under uncultured bacterium. RNAcentral describes it as "partial 16S ribosomal RNA". It matches the Rfam family "Bacterial small subunit ribosomal RNA", at positions 28 to 507 of the family's 1533-position model. The record is from RNAcentral.